This 503-nucleotide ribosomal RNA is filed under the name Lapidilactobacillus dextrinicus. Its description in RNAcentral is "bacterial SSU rRNA". It matches the Rfam family "Bacterial small subunit ribosomal RNA", at positions 56 to 520 of the family's 1533-position model. The record is from RNAcentral. Lineage: Bacteria; Bacillati; Bacillota; Bacilli; Lactobacillales; Lactobacillaceae.
UGCAGUCGACGAGUUUGCUUUUAAUGAAGNNGGUGCUUGCACCAACUGAUUUAAAAAUAAACGAGUGGCGGACGGGUGAGUAACACGUGGGUAACCUACCCUAAAGUGGGGGAUAACAUUUGGAAACAGAUGCUAAUACCGCAUAAUAUUAAAAACCACAUGGUUUUUAAUUGAAAGACGGCGUAAGCUGUCACUUUUGGAUGGACCCGCGGCGUAUUAGCUAGUUGGNGAGGUAACGGCUCACCAAGGCGAUGAUACGUAGCCGACCUGAGAGGGUGAUCGGCCACAUUGGGACUGAGACACGGCCCAAACUCCUACGGGAGGCAGCAGUAGGGAAUCUUCCACAAUGGACGAAAGUCUGAUGGAGCAACGCCGCGUGAGUGAAGAAGGUUUUCGGAUCGUAAAACUCUGUUAUUGGAGAAGAACGUAUUUGGUAGUAACUGGCCAGAUAGUGACGGUAUCCAAUCAGAAAGCCACGGCUAACUACGUGCCAGCAGCCGCGG